CUUCACCUCGAUUCGUGGUUCUCAUCCCAUCUUGAAGGCCUCACUUUCAUGUGUCUAAAGAAUUGGAGCUUGACUACCCUCAAUCUGAUCUCAGCCAUGGAUGUGCUAGCAGGAGGCGUUCUAUUUUACACAGCUACUCGUAUACCCAUUAUCAAAGAUUGGUGCUUCUUCAAUGGGGAUUUUAAGCCCUGCCCGCACUGUGUAAGGAGGAUUGCAGAUAGG
Non-coding RNA from Pelobates cultripes (western spadefoot toad), 222 nucleotides. The record is from the annotation of a GenBank genome assembly. NCBI's taxonomy places the organism in Eukaryota, Metazoa, Chordata, Amphibia, Anura, Pelobatidae.